CAGGAUGGACCCGCGUCUGAUUAGCUAGUUGGUAAGGUAACGGCUUACCAAGGCGACGAUCAGUAGCCGACCUGAGAGGGUGAUCGGCCACAUUGGAACUGAGACACGGUCCAAACUCCUACGGGAGGCAGCAGUGGGGAAUAUUGCACAAUGGGCGAAAGCCUGAUGCAGCAACGCCGCGUGAGUGAUGAAGGCCUUCGGGUCGUAAAACUCUGUCCUCAAGGAAGAUAAUGACGGUACUUGAGGAGGAAGCCCCGGCUAACUACGUGCCAGCAGCCGCGGUAAUACGUAGGGGGCUAGCGUUAUCCGGAUUUACUGGGCGUAAAGGGUGCGUAGGCGGUCUUUCAAGUCAGGAGUGAAAGGCUACGGCUCAACCGUAGUAAGCUCUUGAAACUGGGAGACUUGAGUGCAGGAGAGGAGAGUGGAAUUCCUAGUGUAGCGGUGAAAUGCGUAGAUAUUAGGAGGAACACCAG
This 473-nucleotide ribosomal RNA is filed under the name Clostridioides difficile. Its description in RNAcentral is "bacterial SSU rRNA". It matches the Rfam family "Bacterial small subunit ribosomal RNA", at positions 221 to 712 of the family's 1533-position model. Lineage: Bacteria; Bacillati; Bacillota; Clostridia; Peptostreptococcales; Peptostreptococcaceae. The record is from RNAcentral.